GCCUAGCUCAGUUGGCAGAGCAUUGGGCUAGUAUUCCAAAGGUCGGAGGUUCGAUUCCCAUGCA
RNAcentral lists this transfer RNA (64 nucleotides) under Paramuricea clavata. RNAcentral's name for it is "tRNA-Thr". It matches the Rfam family "tRNA", at positions 8 to 63 of the family's 71-position model. From Rfam's summary of the family: Transfer RNA (tRNA) molecules are approximately 80 nucleotides in length. The record is from RNAcentral. Lineage: Eukaryota; Metazoa; Cnidaria; Anthozoa; Malacalcyonacea; Plexauridae.